GUAAUAACUUCAUCACAUAUUGUAAAACUGGAACAAUAUGGAAAAGAUUAGCUUUGUCCCUGCACAAGGAUGAAACACAAAUUUGUGAAGUGCUCAAUAUUUUU
Alexandromys fortis (reed vole) is the source of this 104-nucleotide small nuclear RNA. Lineage: Eukaryota; Metazoa; Chordata; Mammalia; Rodentia; Cricetidae. The record is from RefSeq and is a predicted model, not a curated record.